RNAcentral lists this ribosomal RNA (385 nucleotides) under uncultured Lachnospiraceae bacterium. Its description in RNAcentral is "bacterial SSU rRNA". It matches the Rfam family "Bacterial small subunit ribosomal RNA", at positions 355 to 755 of the family's 1533-position model. The record is from RNAcentral. Lineage: Bacteria; Bacillati; Bacillota; Clostridia; Lachnospirales; Lachnospiraceae.
UGGGGAAUCUUCCGCAAUGGGGGCGAAAGCCUGAUGCAGCGACGCCGCGUGAGCGAAGAAGUAUUUCGGUAUGUAAAGCUCUAUCAGCAGGGAAGAUAAUGACGGUACCUGACUAAGAAGCACCGGCUAAAUACGUGCCAGCAGCCGCGGUAAUACGUAUGGUGCAAGCGUUAUCCGGAUUUACUGGGUGUAAAGGGAGCGCAGGCGGUGCGGCAAGUCUGAUGUGAAAGCCCGGGGCUCAACCCCGGUACUGCAUUGGAAACUGUGUAGCUUGAGUGCCGGAGGGGUAAGCGGAAUUCCUAGUGUAGCGGUGAAGUGCGUAGAUAUUAGGAGGAACACCAGUGGCGAAGGCGGCUUACUGGACGGUAACUGACGUUGAGGCUCG